This is a long non-coding RNA of Cyprinus carpio (common carp), 294 nucleotides long. RefSeq lists it as uncharacterized. Lineage: Eukaryota; Metazoa; Chordata; Actinopteri; Cypriniformes; Cyprinidae. The transcript has 3 exons. The record is from RefSeq and is a predicted model, not a curated record.
CGCUGGCGUUGCUAUGGCACCCAGCACUAGACAGAUGCGUCUAGCCGUGUAAACCCUCCCAAUCCGAGCAUAGUUACCUGACCUAAUGGCACUUUCCUUGAAUAACCGCUAUCGAUUUUUCACGCGAAGGCAGCAUCUCCGGGAUCUUUUACCUGAAACCCCAAACAACUUCCGGGCCCAUGCCGGGAUACAGGCCCGAAUAAGCUAUAACCGAAAACCCCAUGUUUGGGAGGGAUUAUCGAAUGCAUCGAUCCUCAUGCUACAGAAAAAUUGCAAACAAUAAUUGGCCGGCCC